GAUGAACGCUGGCGGCGUGCCUAAUACAUGCAAGUCGAGCGAACAGACGAGGAGCUUGCUCCUCUGACGUUAGCGGCGGACGGGUGAGUAACACGUGGAUAACCUACCUAUAAGACUGGGAUAACUUCGGGAAACCGGAGCUAAUACCGGAUAAUAUAUUGAACCGCAUGGUUCAAUAGUGAAAGACGGUUUUGCUGUCACUUAUAGAUGGAUCCGCGCCGCAUUAGCUAGUUGGUAAGGUAACGGCUUACCAAGGCAACGAUGCGUAGCCGACCUGAGAGGGUGUUGGGCCACACUGGAGCUGAGACACGGUCCAGACUCCUACGGGAGGCAGCAGUAGGGAAUCUUCCGCAAUGGGCGAAAGCCUGACGGAGCAACGCCGCGUGAGUGAUGAAGGUCUUCGGAUCGUAAAACUCUGUUAUUAGGGAAGAACAAAUGUGUAAGUAACUAUGCACGUCUUGACGGUACCUAAUCAGAAAGCCACGGCUAACUACGUG
This 497-nucleotide ribosomal RNA is filed under the name uncultured bacterium. Its description in RNAcentral is "partial 16S ribosomal RNA". It matches the Rfam family "Bacterial small subunit ribosomal RNA", at positions 28 to 507 of the family's 1533-position model. The record is from RNAcentral.